RNAcentral lists this ribosomal RNA (393 nucleotides) under uncultured bacterium. RNAcentral describes it as "partial 16S ribosomal RNA". It matches the Rfam family "Bacterial small subunit ribosomal RNA", at positions 523 to 918 of the family's 1533-position model. The record is from RNAcentral.
AUACGUAGGUGGCGAGCGUUAUCCGGAUUUACUGGGUGUAAAGGGUGUGUAGGCGGACGUACAAGUCAGAUGUGAAAAGCCACGGCUCAACUGUGGUCCUGCAUUUGAAACUGUACGCCUUGAGAGUGGGAGAGGUAAGCGGAAUUCCCGGUGUAGCGGUGAAAUGCGUAGAGAUCGGGAGGAACACCAGUGGCGAAGGCGGCUUACUGGACCACAACAGACGCUGAGACACGAAAGCGUGGGGAGCAAACAGGUUUAGAUACCCUGGUAGUCCACGCCAUAAACGAUGAAUACUAGGUGUGAGCGUGCAAACGUUCGUGCCGCAGUUAACACAAUAAGUAUUCCACCUGGGGAGUACGGCCGCAAGGUUGAAACUCAAAGGAAUUGACGGGG